UACGAAGGGGGCUAGCGUUGCUCGGAAUCACUGGGCGUAAAGGGCGCGUAGGCGGAUUUUUAAGUCAGGGGUGAAAGCCCGAGGCUCAACCUCGGAACUGCCUUUGAUACUGGGAAUCUUGAGACCGGUAGAGGUAAGUGGAACUGCGAGUGUAGAGGUGAAAUUCGUAGAUAUUCGCAAGAACACCGGUGGCGAAGGCGGUUCACUGGUCCGGAACUGACGCUGAGGCACGACAGCGUGGGGAGCAAACAGG
This 253-nucleotide ribosomal RNA is filed under the name uncultured bacterium. RNAcentral's name for it is "partial 16S ribosomal RNA". It matches the Rfam family "Bacterial small subunit ribosomal RNA", at positions 524 to 776 of the family's 1533-position model. The record is from RNAcentral.